Lycium ferocissimum is the source of this 907-nucleotide long non-coding RNA. RefSeq lists it as uncharacterized. The record is from RefSeq and is a predicted model, not a curated record. The transcript has 3 exons. NCBI's taxonomy places the organism in Eukaryota, Viridiplantae, Streptophyta, Magnoliopsida, Solanales, Solanaceae.
GUCUAACACAAAAAACAAAAGACACCUGCGUGCACAUGUAUAUUUGUAUUUGAGAUAAAUUUUUAAAUAUGAAGCAACUUGAGAUAGUAGUAAUCUUAACUUCUUAAGAGGAUCAAGACUUCCAUCAUAAUUUUAAAAGUUGUCCGAAGAGUUGGUUUGCUUUCAUCCACGUCUAACUUGAUCCGGGUUCUAGUUGCCCUUCGCCGUUCGUUCCACUUUUUAAACUGUGAGAAAGCCAGCAGGAAGGUGGGAGUAUUAAUUACUAGGAAACCUCUGCAUUACAAAGGAUGCUUAUUUCACCUCACAAUUAAAGGAUUUGUAGCAAAGGUAUAUUGUUAUUUACAGAAUUAAUUUGUCAAGUUUAUUAACCUAUUCAAAUCAAUUCAAUCAAUUAAAAAUUCAUAGUUAAACAAACAAACGUUCAAGAAUAACUUUAUGAAAACAAAGUUUGUAAGUGAAGAGAACUACGACAUUAAACAUUACAAGAAAAACAAUAUUUUUUGUUUAAGUUUAUUUCUUCAUAUUAUUAUAUUUUUAUUUAAUUUUAGUAUUUCUAUUCAGGUACUUAGUUAUGUUAAAAAUAUAUCGAAUAUGAUUCUUAGGACCGCGAGUGCUCUGUAAAUGGUAGUUAUUUGUUUGGCUCUCCGAAAUAAUUUUUCAAUCCAAAUUUAUUUUUCUUAGCCAAAUACUCCAUUGUUUUAAUUUUAGUUUUCAGAACUAGGACGAAUAGUUAUAGUAGAUGAAGGACUUGAAGGAAAUUUGAUGUUGAACAAUCUUCCUCCAAUAAUUAUCUUUGAAAUUUACUUCAAUGUUGAUUCGAUUAUAUUGAUCAAUUUUUAUGCCCUUAAAAAUUAUAUUAUUUUUAUAAGAAAAUUAUUCUGUAUUGGAUAAAAUUGGAAUAUCUGAC